Molecule: ribosomal RNA, 517 nt
Filed under: Escherichia coli
Lineage: Bacteria; Pseudomonadati; Pseudomonadota; Gammaproteobacteria; Enterobacterales; Enterobacteriaceae
Description: partial 23S ribosomal RNA
Rfam family: Bacterial large subunit ribosomal RNA
Source: RNAcentral
CGGGACACGUGGUAUCCUGUCUGAAUAUGGGGGGACCAUCCUCCAAGGCUAAAUACUCCUGACUGACCGAUAGUGAACCAGUACCGUGAGGGAAAGGCGAAAAGAACCCCGGCGAGGGGAGUGAAAAAGAACCUGAAACCGUGUACGUACAAGCAGUGGGAGCACGCUUAGGCGUGUGACUGCGUACCUUUUGUAUAAUGGGUCAGCGACUUAUAUUCUGUAGCAAGGUUAACCGAAUAGGGGAGCCGAAGGGAAACCGAGUCUUAACUGGGCGUUAAGUUGCAGGGUAUAGACCCGAAACCCGGUGAUCUAGCCAUGGGCAGGUUGAAGGUUGGGUAACACUAACUGGAGGACCGAACCGACUAAUGUUGAAAAAUUAGCGGAUGACUUGUGGCUGGGGGUGAAAGGCCAAUCAAACCGGGAGAUAGCUGGUUCUCCCCGAAAGCUAUUUAGGUAGCGCCUCGUGAAUUCAUCUCCGGGGGUAGAGCACUGUUUCGGCAAGGGGGUCAUCCCGACU